This 216-nucleotide ribosomal RNA is filed under the name Campeiostachys nutans. RNAcentral's name for it is "Elymus nutans partial small subunit ribosomal RNA". The stretch from base 47 to 216 matches the Rfam family "Eukaryotic small subunit ribosomal RNA", at positions 693 to 864 of the family's 1831-position model. Lineage: Eukaryota; Viridiplantae; Streptophyta; Magnoliopsida; Poales; Poaceae. The record is from RNAcentral.
GGAUCAAUAUGUUGGUCGUGCCUCUGGUACGUACUGGUAUUAUUGGUUUCUCCCUUCUGACGAACCAUGAUGUCAUUUAUUUGGUGUUUUGGGGAAUUUGGACUGUUACUUUGAAAAAAUUAGAGUGUUUAAAGCAGGCUCACGCUUGAAUACAUUAGCAUGGAAUAAUGAAAUAGGACGUUUGAUUCUAUUUUGUUGGUUUCUAGGAUUGACGUA